GUUUGAUCCUGGCUCAGGAUGAACGCUGGCGGCGUGCUUAACACAUGCAAGUCGAACGAUGAACCUCACUUGUGGGGGGAUUAGUGGCGAACGGGUGAGUAACACGUGAGUAACCUGCCCUUAACUCUGGGAUAAGCCUGGGAAACUGGGUCUAAAUCCGGAUAUGACUCCUCAUCGCAUGGUGGGGGGUGGAAGGCAUACUGUGGUUUUGGAUGGACUCGCGGCCUAUCAGCUUGUUGGUGAAUUAAUGGCUCACCAAGGCGACGACGGGUAGCCGGCCUGAGAGGGUGACCGGCCACACUGGGACUGAGACACGGCCCAGCCUCCUACGGGAGGCAGCAGUGGGGAAUAUUGCACAAUGGGCGAAAGCCUGAUGCAGCGACGCCGCGUGAGGGAUGACGGCCUUCGGGUUGUAAACCUCUUUCAGUAGGGAAGAAGCGAAAGUGACGGUACCUGCAGAAGAAGCGCCGGCUAACUACGUGCCAGCAGCCGCGGUAAUACGUAGGGCGCAAGCGUUAUCCGGAAUUAUUGGGCGUAAAGAGCUCGUAGGCGGUUUGUCGCGUCUGCCGUGAAAGUCCGGGGCUCAACUCCGGAUCUGCGGUGGGUACGGGCAGACUAGAGUGAUGUAGGGGAGACUGGAAUUCCUGGUGUAGCGGUGAAAUGCGCAGAUAUCAGGAGCAACACCGAUGGCGAAGGCAGGUCUCUGGGCAUUAACUGACGCUGAGGAGCGAAAGCAUGGGGAGCGAACAGGAUUAGAUACCCUGGUAGUCCAUGCCGUAAACGUUGGGCACUAGGUGUGGGCAACAUUCCACGUUUUCCGCGCCGUAGCUAACGCAUUAAGUGCCCCGCCUGGGGAGUACGGCCGCAAGGCUAAAACUCAAAGGAAUUGACGGGGGCCCGCACAAGCGGCGGAGCAUGCGGAUUAAUUCGAUGCAACGCGAAGAACCUUACCAAGGCUUGACAUGGGCCGGACCGGGC
RNAcentral lists this ribosomal RNA (978 nucleotides) under Arthrobacter sp. NBMS21. RNAcentral's name for it is "bacterial SSU rRNA". It matches the Rfam family "Bacterial small subunit ribosomal RNA", at positions 11 to 1001 of the family's 1533-position model. The record is from RNAcentral. Lineage: Bacteria; Bacillati; Actinomycetota; Actinomycetes; Micrococcales; Micrococcaceae.